RNAcentral lists this transfer RNA (66 nucleotides) under Phrynosoma platyrhinos (Desert horned lizard). RNAcentral describes it as "tRNA-OTHER". Lineage: Eukaryota; Metazoa; Chordata; Lepidosauria; Squamata; Phrynosomatidae. The record is from RNAcentral.
GACAGUGGCAUAGUGGUUUGAGUGUUGGACUGCAACUCUGGGGACCAGGGUUCAGUUCCCUGCUCA